AACGCAUAUUGCGGUCGAGGCUUCGGCCAAGACCAUGUCUGCCUCAGCGUCGGGUUAAUACUCGCCUUCUCAAUCCCUUGUGGGUUGACAAGCGCGGAUCUGGCUUUCCCGGGUAAUUGAUUUAUCAGUUAUCCGGGUCAGCUGAAGCACAGAGGUUGAUGCAUGGACCCGCUAAUGGGCCUCUACUGGGUAGGCAACUCGUUGCUAAAUGCUUUAGUAGAUGGCUUGGGGACGGCGUCGGCCCAAACCAGGAAUUCUCUCCUUGCGAGAGAAAACCCCCUCUAUUUUCUCGACCUGAGCUCAGGCAAGAACACCCGCUGAACUUAA
RNAcentral lists this unclassified non-coding RNA (327 nucleotides) under uncultured fungus. RNAcentral describes it as "partial contains 5.8S rRNA and ITS2". Lineage: Eukaryota; Fungi. The record is from RNAcentral.